GAUGAAGAACGUAGCGAAAUGCGAUACUUGGUGUGAAUUGCAGAAUCCCGUGAACCAUCGAGUCUUUGAACGCAAGUUGCGCCCGAAGCCAUUAGGCCGAGGGCACGCCUGCCUGGGCGUCACACGUCGUUGCCCCCCCAUCUACUCCUUCGGGAUUGCGGGGGGCGGAUGAUGGCCUCCCGUGCGCCUUGUCGCGCGGUUGGCAUAAAUGCCAAGUCCUCGGCGACGCACGCCACGACAAUCGGUGGUUGCGAAACCUCGGUUGCCCGUCGUGUGCGGUCGUCGCGCAUCGAGGGCUCGAAAAAAUUAUCGGGCUCCGGCUCGGCUUUCAACGCGACCCCAGGUCAGGCGGGGUUACCCGCUGAAUUUAAGCAUAUCAAUAAGCGGAGGA
Molecule: unclassified non-coding RNA, 391 nt
Filed under: soil metagenome
Description: partial contains 5.8S ribosomal RNA, internal transcribed spacer 2, and large subunit ribosomal RNA
Rfam family: 5.8S ribosomal RNA (bases 1-122)
Source: RNAcentral